CCUACGGGUGGCAGCAGUGGGGGAUAUUGCACAAUGGGGGGAACCCUGAUGCAGCGACGCCGCGUGGGUGAAGAAGCGCCUCGGCGCGUAAAGCCCUGUCAGCAGGGAAGAAAAUGACGGUCCCUGAAGAAGAAGCCCCGGCUAACUACGUGCCAGCAGCCGCGGUACUACGUAGGGGGCACGCGUUAUCCGGGUUUACUGGGGGUAAAGGGGGCGCAGCCGGGGAGGCAAGCCAGGAGGGAAAGCCCGGGGCCCAACCGCGGGACUGCUCGUGGAACUGCGGGGCUGGAGUGCAGGAGGGGCAGGGGGAAUGCGUGGUGUAGCGGUGAAAUGCGUAGAUAUCAGGAGGAACACCGGUGGCGAAGGCGGCCUGCGGGACUGCAACUGACGUUGAGGCACGAAAGCGUGGGGAGCAAACAGGAUUAGAUACCCUGGUAGUC
This 440-nucleotide ribosomal RNA is filed under the name uncultured bacterium. Its description in RNAcentral is "partial 16S ribosomal RNA". It matches the Rfam family "Bacterial small subunit ribosomal RNA", at positions 338 to 795 of the family's 1533-position model. The record is from RNAcentral.